Long non-coding RNA from Mytilus californianus (California mussel), 5261 nucleotides. RefSeq lists it as uncharacterized. NCBI's taxonomy places the organism in Eukaryota, Metazoa, Mollusca, Bivalvia, Mytilida, Mytilidae. The transcript has 2 exons. The record is from RefSeq and is a predicted model, not a curated record.
AUAAUAGUGAAAAAUUGGUUCAUUUGCGAUUUUAAAUAUUUUAUUGAAAGAUUUUUUUCUAGAAUUGAAAUGAUUUGUGCAAAGGCUUCCUUCCUGAUAAAUCUAAAAUUUGAGUGUAUUCAUAAGCAACAUCUUUUGAUUAUUAAACAAAUUUUUAAAGCAGUUGUAAUUUCAUAUUAAUGUUUAUGUUUUUCCAAAUCAUUUAUUUAAUACCAAAAUACAUAUUAAGCAAUAUAUUUAAAAACGAAGACCUUCAUACAUAUUCAGUAAAAUAAUGUUUAUCUACAUGAAGUCAUUGCUCGUUAAGAAUUUUGGCAUUAUCUACAUAAAGUCAUGGCUCAUUAAGAAUUUUGGCAUUUAAUUAUAUCCUGAUCAAAUACUCAAACUGUUAUAAUGUUACUUAGUGUGAAUUUAGAUACAGAGGUUGUGGUAUCAAUAUACAUAUUCAAUCCAUACUUUGUUUUGUUUGAAUUAACAUUGAAAGUAUUGGUUGUGAUGCUAUUCUGUUUUUAUUAAUUUUCAAUAUUGUUAUUACUCUUUAUUCAGCUGUAUAUAUUUUUGUUGACACUUUGCAGAUAGAUGGCUAUUUUUUGUUCAUUACCAUUUACAAUAUAUUGGUAAUAAAACAUGUAUACACUUGGGCAUUAUAGUGGUGACAUGUUUUUGUUGACUUGGCAUUAUAGUGAUCACGUGUUUGUUGAUACACUUUCCAUGUUGGUGCUCUUGCAUUUUUUUUUUGUUGACAAUUUACAUUAUAGUGCCCUGUAACAUGUGUUUUUUUUUAACACUGCAUAAUAAUAACUGAAAGGGCAAUUCCAGAAAAUAAUAUGUUUAAUUAUAAGUAAUUUAAAUGGUGCUAAAAAAAAGUAGGUAUGGUGCUAGUAACAAUCAUUGUUUGUUGUAAAAUGGGCUUUUAGUUUGUUGAUAAUAUGUAACAUUGUAGUUUAUUCAGUCUAAAAACAUCUGGAACAUUUUAUUUCCACUUUAUAAUUUUGGAAUACAUGUAUGCUUUAUAAUUGUUAUUUAAUUCAUAUAUGACAUUUAUCUAAGUGAUUUGCAUGAUAUUAUCAUGCUAACAUUAUACUAUUCGCACAUCCAUUUUGAAGAAUACAUGUAGCUUACUUUUGUACAUGAAAAAAGUCAGUAAUUUUGUUCUUAAACCAUGUGACUACAAAAAUGUAUGGUAAACAAUAUUGCACAUUGUAUUUUCCAUUGCUUCAUUAGAGAAAGGAUUCUACGUUUUCCCAUUGAUUAAAAUAUGUAUCCACUCUCAUUAUUAAAUUCAAUAAGCCUCUCCUUUUAAAUUUUGAAAAUUUAAUAAUCUCGAUAAAUAUGGAGUUGUAGAAUCUUUAUGUAAAUAUUAGGAUAAAAAUUAAUUAUAUAUUAACUAAAACCAGCCUAUGGUUGAUAGUUUCCAGUAUUAAAAUUAACCAAUACCAGCCUAUGUUUGAUUGAUUUAUAUAUUUAAAUUAACCAGUAGCUGCCUUAGUUUGAUAGUUUUUUCUUCUCUUAAAGGUAAUCAAUACAAGCCUAUGGUUGAUAGUUUCCAAUAUAAAAAUCUGCCAAUACCAACCUAGGGUUGGUAAUUCACUUAUAUCAUGCAAGGGUCGGUAGUUUACAAUAUGUGAAUCCACCAGUACUAGCCUAGGUAUAUAGUUUCCAAUAUAAAAAUCAAUGGUAGUCAACAAUUUAAGAAUCCACUAAUGAACUAGGGUUGUUAGUUUCAAAUAUAAAAAUCCACAAAUACCAGGCCAGGGUUGGUAGUUUCUAAUAUAUAAAAAUACAAUAAUGUCAAGCUAGGGUUGGUAGUUUCCAAUAUAAAAAUCCACUAAUAUCAGGCUAGGAUUGGUAGUUUCAAAUACGAAAAUCUCCUAAUACCAGGCCAGGGUUGGUAGUUUCCAAUAUAAAAAUACACAAAUAUCAGGCUAGGGUUGGGAGUUUCCAAUAUAAAAAUACACAAGUGCCAGGCCAGGGUUGUUAGUUUCAAAUAUAUUAAAAUACAUUAAUAUCAGGCUAGGGUUGGGAGUUGCCAGUUUGAAAAUCCACUAUAUAAGGCUAGGGUUGGUAGUUCCAAUAUAAAAAUCAACCAAUACCAACAUAGGAUUGGGAGUUUCCAAUUUAAAAAUCCGCUAAUAUCAGGCUAGGGUUUGUAGUUUCCAAUAUAAAAAUCAACCAAUACCAACAUAGGAUUGGGAGUUUCCAAUAUAAAAAUCCGCUAAUAUCAGGCUAGGGUUGGUAGUUUCCAAUAUAAAAAUCAACCAAUACCAACAUGGGGUUGGGAGUUUCCAAUAUAAAAAUCUGCUAAUAUCAGGCUAGGGUUGGUAGUUUCCAAUAUAGAAAUCCACUAAUAUCAGGCUAGGGUUGGUAGUUUCCAAUAUAGAAAUUCAGUAAUAUAAGGCAAGGGUUGGGAGAUUCCAAUACGAAAAUCUGCUAAUAUCAGGCUAGGGUUGGUAGUUUCCAAUAUAGAAAUCCACUAAUAUCAGGCUAGGGUUGGUAGUUUCCAAUAUAGAAAUCCACUAAUAUCAGACUAGGGUUGGUAGUUUCCAAUAUAGAAAUCCACUAAUAUCAGGCUAGGAUUGGUAGUUUCCAAUAUAAAAAUCCGCUUAUAUUAUGCUAGGGUUGUUUGUUUCCAAUAUAAAAAUCCGCUAAUAUCAGGCUAGGGUUGUUAGUUUCCAAUAUAAAAAUCCACUGACAUCAGGCUAGGAUUGGUAGUUUCCAAUUUAAAAAUACCCUAAUAUCAAGCUAGGGUUGGUAGUUUCCAAUGUGAAAAUCCGCUAACAUCAGGCUAGGGUUGUUAGUUUCCAAUAUAAAAAUCCACUAACAUCAGACUAGGGUUGGGAGUUUCCAAUUUAAAAAUCCACUGUUAUCAGGCCAGGGUUGGUAGUUCCAAUAUAAAAAUCCACUAACAUCAGGCCAGGGUUGGUAGUUCCAAUAUAAAAAUCCACUAACAUCAGGAUAGGAUUGGUAGUUUACAAUAUGAAGAUUCCUUUAAUACAAGCCUAGGGUUGGUUGUUUCCAAUAUAAAAAAAACAAAAAAAAGCCUAGAGUUCAUCCCGUUAAUACUUUCCAACAUAAAAAUUUCUCAAUACAAGCCUACAGUUGGUAGUCUCAAAUAUAAAAUCCAAUAUAGUAUAGCCUAAAAUAAUACAGAAAUAAAUAUAUCUCUAUAAACACAAGUACAUGUAAAUAGUAACAUUUUUUUAGGUCAUUUUUGUACCAUGCGUUCCAUGGGGAGAAUAAACAAUGAGCUGAACAAAACUAAUCCCAAAUUUAAGGUAAGACUUAAGAAUAGAUUUGUUUGCUGUUUCUUUCACUCCCUCCAACUUUGGCUGUACCAUUAUUCCUGUAGGAAGUAUCUUCUCCAAUACCAAUUAACUUUUCUCUUAUGUUCAAUGAAGCAUAUGCUGAUUUUUUUAGGACCAGUUAAGUGAGGAUGAAAUUUUCUGAGUUGAAAUAACAGUAAACCUUGCAGGAUUUUGCAUAGGUCGCAUAAAGGGGGUGUGAAAAUUAAUUUAACCCCAUAAGCUUGAAAUUAAGUAUCAAACAUUUUGCACACUCAAAAAAGGUUGAUAACAAAAACAAUGGUAUAGAAAAGUUGCUUUUUAGCUCACCUAGCCUGAAGGGCCAAGUGAGCUUUUCUCAUCACUUGGUGUCAGUCGUCCGUCGUCGUCGUUAACUUUUACAAAAAUCUUCUCCUCUGAAACUACUGAGCCAAAUUUAACAAAACUUGGCCACAAUCAUCAUUAGGGUAUCUAGUUUAAAAAAUGUGUUCGAUGACCCGGCCUGCAAACCAACAUGGCAGACAUGGCUAAAAAUAGAACAUAGGGGUAAAAUGCAGUUUUUGGCUUAUAUCUCUGAAACUAAAGCAUUAAGAUCAAAUCUGACAUGGGUAAAAAUGUUCAUCAGUUUUAGAAUUAUCUGCCCUGAAAUUUUCAGAUGAAUCAGACAAGCCGUUGUUGGGUUGCUGCCCCUGAAUUGGUAAUUUUAUGGAAAUUUUGCAGUUUUGGGUUAUUAUCUUAAAUAUUAUUAUAGAUAGAUAAACUGUAAACAGCAAUAAUAAUGUUCAGCAAAGUACAAUCUACAAAUAAGUCAAUAUGACCAAAUUUUCAAUUGACCCCUUAAGGAGUUAUUGCCCUUUAUAGUCAAAUUUUUAACAAUUUUUUUCGUAAAUUUUUGUAAUCUUUUACAAAAAUCUUCUCCACUUAAUCUAUUAGGCCAAAAUAGAACUAAACUUAGCCACAAUAUUCAAUAGGGUAUCUUGAUUGAAAAAUGACCCUGCCAUCCAAACAACAUGGCGGCAAUGGCUAAAAAUAGAACAUAGGGAUUUACUUUAGAAGUCUAAGGGAAAAAUGUAAAAAAAACAAUUUCAAAUGUUCACAACUUGAAAAAAAAAUUUAAAUAAUGAUAAGGGGUCUUCAGUAACUAUUGUUAGUCUAGUUACUAGUGAGAUGACCUGCUUUUAAUUUAACUACUGGGCCAAAUUAAACCAAUUUGCCUCAUGCGCAAUCAUUAUUAGGGUAUCUAAAACUAUUUAUUAUGAUUUAAACCUUAUUUUACAUGAUUUCCAAAACAAACUUAGAUACAGGUGAGCGACACAGGCUCUUGAGAGCCUGUAGUUUUUUAUACUUAAAAAAGAUAUAUUUUGUAUAAUUUCCUAAAAUAUUAUUUCCCUUUUUUGGCUAAAUUAUUCUAAACAAUUUGAAUCAGUUUUUGUUUUGUUUUACAUUUUAAAAGUAUAGGAACUGCAGUUGAAUUUUCUUUUUUAGUCAUUAUUCAUAUAAAAGGUUACUAAGGUCUUUGGUAUAAAUACAUUUGACACUUGAAAAAAUAGUAACAGUUUUAUACAAUACUGGUUCUCUGAUGGGGGGGGGGGGGGGGGUGGUGGGGAGUUCAAUUAACAUACCUACCUCCUGUUCUUAAUAUUAUAUAGGAAGGAUAGAAUUGUGGCAUAACAUUCCACAGUGGCAUGGUGAUUAGAAUAGUAUUUGUUAACACAAAAUCUAUUGUUUUAUUGUGGUGGUAAUAAAAAAAAUGUUUUAGAAAAAUCACUAUGUUUUAUAUUUUAAAUAUCUUCAAAUAUUCUUAAAAGAUGUAUUUACAAAUAAUUAAAACCAAAUGUAAGUUGGAAGAUUAUAUAAGAAAAUGUUAUUUGGUAAAUUGGUUAUUAAAUUGUAAUCAUUUGACUUGCCCAUAUUGUUUGUAAAACCAGAAAAUGAUGUUUAAUUGUUAAAAAAAUCAAACAUAAAAAUUGAUAUCUUUCA